This 268-nucleotide ribosomal RNA is filed under the name uncultured bacterium. RNAcentral's name for it is "partial 16S ribosomal RNA". It matches the Rfam family "Bacterial small subunit ribosomal RNA", at positions 337 to 602 of the family's 1533-position model. The record is from RNAcentral.
GCCUACGGGGCGCAGCAGUGAGGAAUAUUGGUCAAUGGGCGGGAGCCUGAACCAGCCAAGCCGCGUGAGGGAAGAAGGUACAGCGUAUCGUAAACCUCUUUUGUCAGGGAACAAAGGCGGGAACUAGUCCCCGGAUGAGGGUACCUGAAGAAAAAGCAUCGGCUAACUCCGUGCCAGCAGCCGCGGUAAUACGGAGGAUGCGAGCGUUAUCCGGAUUUAUUGGGUUUAAAGGGUGCGUAGGCGGUUCGAUAAGUUAGAGGUGAAAUCC